AGACGGAGGGUGCAAGCGUUGUUCGGAUUUACUGGGCGUAAAGGGCGUGUAGGCGGAUUGGCAAGCCGGUGGUGAAAGGCCUGGGCUUAACCCGGGAUGGUCUUCCGGAACUGCCAGUCUAGAGAGAGUCAGAGGCAGGUGGAAUUCCCGGUGUAGAGGUGAAAUUCGUAGAGAUCGGGAGGAACACCCGCGGCGAAGGCGGCCUGCUGGGACUCUUCUGACGCUGAGGCGCGAAAGCGUGGGUAGCAAACAGGAUUAGAAACCCCGGUAGUCC
This 274-nucleotide ribosomal RNA is filed under the name uncultured bacterium. RNAcentral describes it as "partial 16S ribosomal RNA". It matches the Rfam family "Bacterial small subunit ribosomal RNA", at positions 523 to 796 of the family's 1533-position model. The record is from RNAcentral.